This 67-nucleotide transfer RNA is filed under the name human gut metagenome. It matches the Rfam family "tRNA", at positions 5 to 66 of the family's 71-position model. From Rfam's summary of the family: Transfer RNA (tRNA) molecules are approximately 80 nucleotides in length. The record is from RNAcentral. RNAcentral also lists the same sequence under 1 other name.
CAAUAGCUCAGCUGGAUAGAGCGUCCGCCUCCUAAGCGGAAGGUCGGGGGUUCAAAUCCCUUUUGGC